GAUGAACGCUGGCGGCGUGCCUAAUACAUGCAAGUCGAGCGAACAGACGAGGAGCUUGCUCCUCUGACGUUAGCGGCGGACGGGUGAGUAACACGUGGAUAACCUACCUAUAAGACUGGGAUAACUUCGGGAAACCGGAGCUAAUACCGGAUAAUAUAUUGAACCGCAUGGUUCAAUAGUGAAAGACGGUUUUGCUGUCACUUAUAGAUGGAUCCGCGCCGCAUUAGCUAGUUGGUAAGGUAACGGCUUACCAAGGCAACGAUGCGUAGCCGACCUGAGAGGGUGAUCGCCCACACUGGAACUGAGACACGCUCCAGGCUCCUACGGGAGGCAGCAGUAGGGAAUCUUCCGCAAUGGGCGAAAGCCUGACGGAGCAACGCCGCGUGAGUGAUGAAGGUCUUCGGAUCGUAAAACUCUGUUAUUAGGGAAGAACAAAUGUGUAAGUAACUAUGCACGUCUUGACGGUACCUAAUCAGAAAGCCACGGCUAACUACGUG
Molecule: ribosomal RNA, 497 nt
Filed under: uncultured bacterium
Lineage: Bacteria
Description: partial 16S ribosomal RNA
Rfam family: Bacterial small subunit ribosomal RNA
Source: RNAcentral